This 460-nucleotide ribosomal RNA is filed under the name uncultured bacterium. RNAcentral's name for it is "partial 16S ribosomal RNA". It matches the Rfam family "Bacterial small subunit ribosomal RNA", at positions 338 to 795 of the family's 1533-position model. The record is from RNAcentral.
CCUACGGGAGGCUGCAGUGAGGAAUAUUGGUCAAUGGGCGGGAGCCUGAACCAGCCAAGUCGCGUGAGGGAAGACGGUCCUAUGGAUUGUAAACCUCUUUAGGCGGGGAGCAAUGCCGGGCACGCGUGCCCGGAGGGAGAGUACCCGCAGAAUAAGCAUCGGCUAACUCCGUGCCAGCAGCCGCGGUAAUACGGAGGAUGCGAGCGUUAUCCGGAUUUAUGGGGUUUAAAGGGUGCGAAGGCGGAUUUUUAAGUCAGCGGUAAAAUGUCCGGGCUCAACCCGGGCCGGCCGUUGAAACUGGGGAUCUUGAGUGGGCGAGAAGUAUGCGGAAUGCGUGGUGUAGCGGUGAAAUGCAUAGAUAUCACGCAGAACUCCGAUUGCGAAGGCAGCAUACCGGCGCCCGACUGACGCUGAGGCACGAAAGCGUGGGGAUCGAACAGGAUUAGAUACCCGAGUAGUC